This is a long non-coding RNA of Stomoxys calcitrans (stable fly), 570 nucleotides long. RefSeq lists it as uncharacterized. The record is from RefSeq and is a predicted model, not a curated record. NCBI's taxonomy places the organism in Eukaryota, Metazoa, Arthropoda, Insecta, Diptera, Muscidae. The transcript has 2 exons.
CAUUUGAAAGAAAACUUCAGGCUGUUUAUAUCAUUGAUUAACAGGCAAGAUAUUUUUUUGUGUCAAAUAAUUUUUGGUUUUCUCAAAGAAAUUUAUUUUUUGAAUUGACAAUUUAUCUGUGGCUCGGACUGCGUAUAAUAAAUUGGAAGCUUUUAUGUAUUUCUGGAAGGAAUUGGGAGCGUUUAUCUCUAAUUCUUCCCAAGGAUUUUUUAUUUAAAGUUUUUUUCCGCGAGAGAGAUAAAAGAAAAUAGCAUCUCCAAAACACCACCAGUCUGAUCUUUGGCGGUUUAGGCGCACCAUUGCGAAUGAUUGUCGGCGUAAAUUUUAUUGUUGACCAACACGUAUACACCAGAAAACGAUAAUCAACCAUUCCAAGCUCUUGUCAAGAUUAUGGAAUAAAUAGAGCAAAAUUUUGACAUACAUAUAUAAAUUCUUGACGUUUCUUAAGAGGACCCAAAACAAAAAAGAACAAUAUAAUUGAGAGCGUAUCAUCAGAAGGGCGUCAUGGUUACCUUCUCCAUCAAUUGCUAGGAUAUUAAGAAUAACCGCAAUAAAUACACUAGUCUACAA